RNAcentral lists this ribosomal RNA (506 nucleotides) under uncultured bacterium. RNAcentral's name for it is "partial 16S ribosomal RNA". It matches the Rfam family "Bacterial small subunit ribosomal RNA", at positions 29 to 526 of the family's 1533-position model. The record is from RNAcentral.
AGUGAACGCUGGCGGUAGGCCUAACACAUGCAAGUCGAACGGCAGCACAGGAGAGCUUGCUCUCUGGGUGGCGAGUGGCGGACGGGCGAGGAAUACAUCGGAAUCUACUCUGUCGUGGGGGAUAACGUAGGGAAACUUACGCUAAUACCGCAUACGACCUACGGGUGAAAGCAGGGGACCUUCGGGCCUUGCGCGAUUGGAUGAGCCGAUGUCGGAUCAGCUAGUUGGCGGGGUAAAGGCCCACCAAGGCGACGAUCCGUAGCUGGUCUGAGGGGAGGAUAAGCCACACUAGAACUGGGACACGGUCCAGACUCCUACGGGAGGCAGCAGUGGGGAAUAUUGGACAAUGGGCGCAAGCCUGAUCCAGCCAUACCGCGUGGGUGAAGAAGGCCUUCGGGUUGUAAAGCCCUUUUGUUGGGAAAGAAAUCCAGCUGGCUAAUACCCGGUUGGGAUGACGGUACCCAAAGAAUAAGCACCUGCUAACUUCGUGCCAGCCGCCGUAACAC